CGCACGGGUGCGUAACGCGUAUGCAAUCUACCUCUUACUGAGGGAUAGCCCAUGGAAACGUGGAUUAAUACCUCAUAGUAUUAUAAACUGGCCUCAGUUUAUGAUUAAAGGUUACGGUAAGAGAUGAGCAUGCGUCCUAUUAGCUAGAUGGUAAGGUAACGGCUUACCAUGGCUACGAUAGGUAGGGGUCCUGAGAGGGAGAUCCCCCACACUGGUACUGAGACACGGACCACACUCCUACGGGAGGCAGCAGUGAGGAAUAUUGGACAAUGGGCGAGAGCCUGAUCCAGCCAUGCCGCGUGCAGGAAGACGGCCCUAUGGGUUGUAAACUGCUUUUACAGAGGAAGAACCCUCCUUACGUGUAAGGAGCUGACGGUACUCUAUGAAUAAGGAUCGGCUAACUCCGUGCCAGCAGCCGCGGUAAUACGGAGGAUCCAAGCGUUAUCCGGAAUCAUUGGGUUUAAAGGGUCCGUAGGCGGGUCUAUAAGUCAGUGGUGAAAGUCUGCAGCUUAACUGUAGAACUGCCAUUGAUACUGUAGACCUUGAAUUAGUAUGAAGUGGUUAGAAUGUGUAGUGUAGCGGUGAAAUGCAUAGAUAUUACACAGAAUACCGAUUGCGAAGGCAGAUCACUAAUACUAUAUUGACGCUGAUGGACGAAAGCGUAGGUAGCGAACAGGAUUAGAUACCCUGGUAGUCUACGCCGUAAACGAUGGUUACUAGCUGUCCGGCCUAAUUGAGGGCUGGGUGGUUAAGCGAAAGUGAUA
This 764-nucleotide ribosomal RNA is filed under the name uncultured bacterium. RNAcentral's name for it is "bacterial SSU rRNA". It matches the Rfam family "Bacterial small subunit ribosomal RNA", at positions 99 to 862 of the family's 1533-position model. The record is from RNAcentral.